RNAcentral lists this ribosomal RNA (1291 nucleotides) under uncultured Sebacina. Its description in RNAcentral is "eukaryotic LSU rRNA". The stretch from base 615 to 1291 matches the Rfam family "Eukaryotic large subunit ribosomal RNA", at positions 1 to 656 of the family's 3401-position model. The record is from RNAcentral. Lineage: Eukaryota; Fungi; Basidiomycota; Agaricomycetes; Sebacinales; Sebacinaceae.
UCUUGGUCAUUUAGAGGAAGUAAAAGUCGUAACAAGGUUUCCGUAGGUGAACCUGCGGAAGGAUCAUUAAUGAAACUUCAAAGUCGGCCAAAGGUUGUUGCUGGUGAUUAUUCACAUGUGCACGCCUUUGGUCGCAAAUCCACACACACCUGUGCAUCUAUGACUCGAGGUUGUAAUGACUGAGAGUAACUUUUAUACACUCUUGUAUGUAAUGGAAUGUCUUUUUGUGCUAUAAUGUACAAUAUAAACAACUUUCAACAACGGAUCUCUUGGCUCUCGCAUCGAUGAAGAACGCAGCGAAAUGCGAUAAGUAAUGUGAAUUGCAGAAUUCAGUGAAUCAUCGAAUCUUUGAACGCACCUUGCACCCUUUGGUAUUCCGAAGGGUACACCCGUUUGAGUGUCAUUGUAAUCUCACUUCUACAACUUUAUUGUUGUUUGAAUGUGGACUUGGAUGUUGCCGUUUUAUCACGGCUCAUCUUAAAUGCCUGAGUGUACCCUGUUUUGCAGCGUAUCCAGUGUAAUAAACAUUUCACUAGAGUUGGUCGAAAGACCGCGUUGACUAUAUGGGCUCUAUGCUUCAAACCGUCUGCCAUGUGGACAAUUUCUUGACAAUUUGACCUCAAAUCGGGUGGGACUACCCGCUGAACUUAAGCAUAUCAAUAAGCGGAGGAAAAGAAACUAACAAGGAUUCCCCUAGUAACGGCGAGUGAAGAGGGAAAAGCUCAAAUUUUAAAUCUGGUGUCUUUGACUCCCGAGUUGUAAUCUAGAGAAGUGUUUUCCGUGUCGGACCGUGUACAAGUUCCCUGGAACGGGGCGUCAUAGAGGGUGAGAAUCCCGUAUAUGCCACGGACUACCGAUGCUCUGUGAUACACUCUCAACGAGUCGAGUUGUUUGGGAAUGCAGCUCAAAAUGGGUGGUAAAUUCCAUCUAAAGCUAAAUAUUGGCGAGAGACCGAUAGCGAACAAGUACCGUGAGGGAAAGAUGAAAAGCACUUUGGAAAGAGAGUGAAACAGUACGUGAAAUUGUUGAAAGGGAAGCGUUUGAAGUCAGUCGCAUCUGUUGGGGUUCAGCCUGGCUUUUGCCUGGUGUAUUUCCUUUCCGAUGGGUCAGCAUCAGUUUCGACCGAGGGAAAAAGACAUUUGGAAUGUGGCUGUCUUCGGGCAGUGUUAUAGCCUUGUGUUGUAUGUCUCGGUUGGGACUGAGGAUUGCAGCGCGCCAUAAAUGGCCGGGGGUCGCUCCUCUCGACACGCGCUUAGGAUGCUGGCAUAAUGGCUUUAAGCGACCCGUCUUG